UACGUAGGGGGCUAGCGUUGUCCGGAAUCAUUGGGCGUAAAGAGCGUGUAGGCGGUCCGGUAAGUCAGCUGUGAAAGCCCCGGGCUCAACCUGGGAACUGCGUCCGAUACUGGAUGGCUUGAAUCCGGAGAGGGAUGCAGAAUUCCAGGUGUAGCGGUGAAAUGCGUAGAUAUCUGGAGGAAUACCGGUGGCGAAGGCGGCAUCCUGGACCGGCAUUGACGCUGA
RNAcentral lists this ribosomal RNA (225 nucleotides) under uncultured bacterium. Its description in RNAcentral is "partial 16S ribosomal RNA". It matches the Rfam family "Bacterial small subunit ribosomal RNA", at positions 524 to 749 of the family's 1533-position model. The record is from RNAcentral.